Small nuclear RNA from Artibeus jamaicensis (Jamaican fruit-eating bat), 107 nucleotides. NCBI's taxonomy places the organism in Eukaryota, Metazoa, Chordata, Mammalia, Chiroptera, Phyllostomidae. The record is from RefSeq and is a predicted model, not a curated record.
GUACUUGCGUUAGCGGCACAUACAAUAAAAUUGGAACUAUAUAGAGAAGAUCAGCAUGGUCUCUGGUAAGGGACAACACGCAAACUCACAAAGUGUUUCACAUGUUC